GACGAACGCUGGCGGCGUGCUUAACACAUGCAAGUCGAACGGCAAGGCCCUGCUUGUGUGGGGUGCUCGAGUGGCGAACGGGUGAGUAACACGUGAGUAUCCUGCCCUUCACUUUCGUAUAACUUCAGGAAACUGGGGUUACUACCGUAUAGGAUACCCUGUUGCAUGGUGGGGGUUGGAUAGUUGAGGCGGUCGCGGUUGGAUUCGCGGCUUUUCGGCUAGCUGGUUGGCGAGUGGCUUACCCAGCCUGUGAAGGGUCGCCGACCUGUGAGGGUGAACGGCGACAUGGGGACUGAGAUACGGCGCAGACUCCAACGGGAGGCAGAAGGGGGAAGUAUUGCACAGUGGGCGGACGCGUGAGGAAGAAACGCCGCGUGCGGAAUGACGGCCUUCGGGUUGUAAAACGCUUUCGCCUGUGACGAAGCGUGAGUGACGGUAAUGAAUAAAGAAGCACCGGCUAACUACGUG
Molecule: ribosomal RNA, 468 nt
Filed under: uncultured bacterium
Lineage: Bacteria
Description: partial 16S ribosomal RNA
Rfam family: Bacterial small subunit ribosomal RNA
Source: RNAcentral